AGUGAACGCUGGCGGUAGGCCUAACACAUGCAAGUCGAACGGCAGCACAGUAAGAGCUUGCUCUUACGGGUGGCGAGUGGCGGACGGGUGAGGAAUACAUCGGAAUCUACUUUUUCGUGGGGGAUAACGUAGGUAAACUUACGCUAAUACCGCAUACUACCUACGGGUGAAAGCAGGGGAUCUUCGGACCUUGCGCGAUUGAAUUAGCCGAUGUCGGAUUAGAUAGUUGGCGGGGUAAAGGCCCACCAAGGCGACGAUCCGUAGCUGGUCUGAGAGGAUGAUCAGCCACACUGGAACUGAGACACGGACCAGACUACUACGGGAGGCAGCAGUGGGGAAUAUUGGACAAUGGGCGCAAGCCUGAUCCAGCCAUACCGCGUGGGUGAAGAAGGCCUUCGGGUUGUAAAGCCCUUUUGUCGGGAAAGAAAAGCAGCAGGUUAAUACCCCGCUGUUAUGACGGUACCCAAAGAAUAAGCACCGGCUAACUUCGUG
RNAcentral lists this ribosomal RNA (492 nucleotides) under uncultured bacterium. RNAcentral describes it as "partial 16S ribosomal RNA". It matches the Rfam family "Bacterial small subunit ribosomal RNA", at positions 29 to 507 of the family's 1533-position model. The record is from RNAcentral.